UAAGAGCUAAACAAUUUUGGUGAAAUUUUGUAAAAGUUUGCAAAAAAAAAAAAAUUUGGAGAAGGGAAAAAGUGACUGAAAAUAUCACCUAUAUUCAAUAAAAAAAUUGGAAAAAUGAAUCCAUAAAAUAUAUGCUACUUUUUUUUUGUGCCAGAUGAGAUGUCCCUUUCAUAUUUCUUUGUGAACAUGAAAAUCCGAUCAUAGGGAACCUAACCCCAUAUCUCUUCGGCCUUUACACCAUGGAAUAUUGGGAUUGGGGAGGCUUUUUAUUGAUUGGUUAAGAAUUGAGAUAAAAGACAACCAUGGUGAAAUCACAAAAUGGGGACCACUUGACCCAUUGGUUUACACGCUACACUAAGAGUGACAAAGAUUUGAGUCAUCCCCAUCUUGUCUUAAUAUAACCAAGGCCUAACAGCUUCUUUAAGUUUGGCCACUUGAAGCUUUCCAUUACCAUUUCUUUUUUUUUUUGCCAAAAAAAAUGGCCUCCCCGCCCUCCCAUGGAAACAUUAGUGUGAGCACCUCUCCCAAAGGCAGCAACGCCUCUGAAGCAGCUGUGCCAGCCAAUUCGCCCAAAGGGGGCCAAUGUUUGUGCUCACCAACAACUCACCAGGGCUCUUUUCGAUGCAGAUUUCAUCGGUCAAGGUCUACAGCCUGGAUGAAGCGAUCAAAGUCCAUGCCUGCCAACAAUAGUUCCGUGGCUCCUCUUUCUCCCAAGUCUGUCGAAUCUACAUAAUAAAGACCAAAAGUGAUGCCCUCUUCCAUGUUCUCAUAACAAUCUCCCUCUGUAUCUCAACUAUGUGAAACAUACACGUAUAUACACCAUAUAGCUAUGCUGGAUUUUCUGUAUUCGCUUGGGAUGUGAUUAUAAAAUAUGGGAGCUAUUUAAAAUCAAACAGCCAAUUUGUAGUAGGAGCUUUACUUCUCUUGAUUUUAUCUGGUAAAGCUCUCUCUUUUUUAAGUUAUUGCAAAUUUUGUAUUAAUUCAACACUAUCUUAAUUUUCAUUCGUGUGCACAUACAUAUAUAUAUAUAUAUAUAUAUAUGUAUGCAGUCAAUCUUUCAACAAAAUCGUGAAUAGUUUCAUGUCAGUUUUAGCUAAAUUUGAACUAAACUUGUUUCUAUUUUACUUUUAACUUCUUUUUUCCAUAGCUGAGGUAUUAACAAACUUGAACCAUUUGAUAAAGGCGAAUUUCAAUUGUAAAUUCAUUAUAGUUUUAGAGAUAAAUUCGUUAUACUUAAUUGGCAAAGGCACUGACAUGUUCAAAGUUGAUAUAUCUUACCUACCCUUUCAUGGUUUCCAGCUAUAAAGUUCUAUAUGCUCAUUCCAAAAAAUCACUUCAACUACAGGUUGAAGAACAGUCUAAAGAAAUUAAAAUUAUUUAUCUCCUCAAACAUCAGUCCAUCCUUAUUCCUUGUCCUUGAAUAAUCAGAUGCCUCCGCCACUUGAUUUUUUUUUUUGUUUAGAAGAUAUAAAACUGUGCUGAUUUACUAUAUAUGUUACUUUCUGUCCUGUCAAAUUUUGAUUGUUACCUCUCAAUUUUUUCCUGACUGAAAUGGAAUGGCUUGAGAUGAGUUUUGAAUGGUAUGUGAUGAUUUUUGUCAAAUUACAUUUGGAAUGGUAUUUGGAUGAUUUAAAAAAUUUGAAGAAAAGCAUCAUUUAAAUUUUUUUUUUCCCAAUAAGUUAGAUGCCAAAAAGGCAAUGGGGCCUUUGAUAACGACAAUGGAAGAAUAUUCAAACGGUUUGAUUGAUCGUUUUAUGCCUUCUAUAUUACUUUUUUUUUUUUUUUUAAAGAACAUGCCUUGUAUAUUACUCUUGCUCUUAAAAAUAUGUCACUUUCUAAAUGGUUUAUUAUAUCUUUUUUUUAAUUUAAAUGAAAAUAAAUAAUAAAUUAAUUAAAGACAAUGAUAAUGCACAUGGAUUCAUAGUCCUUAAUUGAUUAAUAAGAUUAACCUUAUCCAAUUUUUCUUUUUUGUUUAGUCUUUUUUGGGAGUUUAGAUUAUUCGAGUUAGACUAAUUUUAUUGGAGACCUGUUGGUUAAUAUCACCUUACUAGUAAUUAUUUUAUAAAAUUAGUUUGAGCUAGUUUAGGAUAAUUUAGGAUUAUACUUAAAUUGAAUUUACAUGUCAGUUUUAGUGAAAUAUACUCAAUAAAAUUUUUUAUUAUAAAAUUUUUUCAAUCAUAAUUAAAAUAAUUUUUUUAAUUAUAAUUAUAAUAAUUUUUAUUAUUAUUUUAUAUUUCACCGUUCAUUCAAAUGAAAUCAAAAAAUUAUUAGAAUUACUAGUUAUUGAGAUUUUGCUAUGCUUUAGAUUAAUGAAAUAAUGAUUAUAAAAGCAUAAAUCCUCACUCUCUCCCCACUCUUGUUCAUCGUCUAAAUCUCGUUUCUCCCAUAUUUUAGAUCAAAUCCCUCCCUCACUCUCUCUCCCUAUCCCCCUCCCCUUCUUGCUUGCCCAUAUUUUAAAAUUAAUUCCUAUCGGCCUAAACCCCUCGCUCUCACAACAAGCUUCUCAGGAUACUGUUCAUGGCAUAAAACCUCUGCCUCAGAACUAUAAUUUCCCUUCUUAUUUGUAGCCUUAAUAACAUUCCUUUCAAGUACCUAUCAACCAUCUUUCUUACCCAAUAUUUUAAAAUAAUUCCCACAAGCCAAAACCUAAUUCCUAACCUUUUUGCUGCCAAACAACUAUAAAUCUAAGAGAGCAAACAUUCCCCCUACAGAGGUUACAUACAAACCAAAAUUCACAAGUCCAACCAUUUGCUUUCACGAUAUCUAAUGAACUGCAGUAUGUUAUUAAUCAAAUAGCACUCUUUGUGGGUAAUUUAAAAUAUCAUCACAUAUGCAAGCAACAAGGACAUAUUCAAAUGAUUAUAAACAGUCACAAUGGAUGUCAAGAACUCCUAAAAGAACUAUAAUUUAUUCAAGUAUCAUAUAUGCAUACCUCAUCAAAAAUCCAUUUGCAAAUGCCAGACUGGUGCAACAACAGAAUGUAUUUAAAUCACAACCCGGCUAUAUCUUGCAUGGUUGUCAAUCCAUUUGCAAUUCAUUAUGUGUCAAUUCUCUAGUGAAGAGAUUUGGAGGGUGUCAAUUCCUUUUUUGUACAAUUGAAUAAGGCCAACAGGGCAAAAGAGGGAGAGAUCAGAAGAUGAGAAGGGGGUUUAGGGAAGAAAAGGUAGCAAUAAUGGGGCAAGACACUAAUUUGAGGAAACAAAUAUAGAUUUGCAAGUGACCAAUACUUCUUAAUUUGAGUGGCAAAAAAUUUAAUUCUUUUUAAAUGAGAUUUCGAUUUCGAAUUUUGUGAAUAAAAAAAAUAAAUUUAAAAGAAUAUAUUUUUAAAGAAUACGAUUUGAUUUAAUUUCAGAUUAAUUAAAAUUUAAAAUAAUUAUCGGAUAUAAAAAAUUUUAGACAAAAAAAAAUAUGAACUUGCAGGAUUAACCAAUUAGCCAUUAUGUUUUGUUUGUAAUUCACAAGAAAAAUAAAAGCACAGUAAAAAUCUGAAAAGGGGGGGCGUUUCUAAAGUAGUUCAAAUCACUCUUACAAAAGAACCAGUGAUUUUUUACCUUGAAACUAAAGCGACUGGUCAUUUCUUGCUAACAAAUAGACCACCCCCGUACAUACUCGGCACAGUGGAGCAGUCAUUUCUUGCUGAUGAAUCGACCACCCCACACAUAGUCCGCAUGGUGGUGCCACACCGAAACUUGUUUUACUGAAG
Molecule: long non-coding RNA, 3703 nt
Filed under: Durio zibethinus
Lineage: Eukaryota; Viridiplantae; Streptophyta; Magnoliopsida; Malvales; Malvaceae
Description: long non-coding RNA (DZIB_LNC000463)
Source: RNAcentral